UGGGGAAUUUUGGACAAUGGGCGAAAGCCUGAUCCAGCAAUGCCGCGUGUGUGAAGAAGGCCUUCGGGUUGUAAAGCACUUUUGUCCGGAAAGAAAUCCUUGGCUCUAAUACAGUCGGGGGAUGACGGUACCGGAAGAAUAAGCACCGGCUAACUACGUGCCAGCAGCCGCGGUAAUACGUAGGGUGCAAGCGUUAAUCGGAAUUACUGGGCGUAAAGCGUGCGCAGGCGGUUUUGCUAAGACCGAUGUGAAAUCCCCGGGCUCAACCUGGGAACUGCAUUUGGUGACUGGCAGGCUAGAGUAUGGCAGAGGGGGGUAGAAUUCCACGUGUAGCAGUGAAAUGCGUAGAGAUGUGGAGGAAUACCGAUGGCG
This 372-nucleotide ribosomal RNA is filed under the name uncultured bacterium. RNAcentral describes it as "partial 16S ribosomal RNA". It matches the Rfam family "Bacterial small subunit ribosomal RNA", at positions 355 to 717 of the family's 1533-position model. The record is from RNAcentral.